Long non-coding RNA from Tympanuchus pallidicinctus (lesser prairie-chicken), 435 nucleotides. RefSeq lists it as uncharacterized. The record is from RefSeq and is a predicted model, not a curated record. The transcript is spliced from 5 exons. NCBI's taxonomy places the organism in Eukaryota, Metazoa, Chordata, Aves, Galliformes, Phasianidae.
GAGGAAGUCACUCCGUAGCCACUGCUUUGGGAUUUCUGCCCAUGGAGCAGGGUCAGGACUGGUGAAAACGUGGAGGGAAAAUGUGACCUGGAUUCUAGUUUCUGCCCUACGUAAGGCAGCCCACGAGGGGUACCAUGUGGAGGCAUGGCCCAGGUAACCACCUCUCCUAUUUGGUAGCACUGGAUCCAAGGACCAGAGGUCUUGCUGAAGGAACAGAUGUGAUCUCACACGACUGUAAUCUUGCCAGCAAAUAAGAAGCAGUGUGAGCUGGAGGGACAGACCUGAGCAGCCCUGUGUGUGGGAGGUGCCCUGCUUGCUAAUUGCCAAGCAGGUAUGAGCUGCCGGCUUGGCUUCGUCGCAGCCUCUCCACGCUGGGACUUUGAGACAUGGGAUGAUAGUGGUGCAGUGCUGGUACCUGGGAGAGGACGUGAGAGC